RNAcentral lists this unclassified non-coding RNA (331 nucleotides) under soil metagenome. Its description in RNAcentral is "partial contains 5.8S ribosomal RNA, internal transcribed spacer 2, and large subunit ribosomal RNA". The stretch from base 1 to 120 matches the Rfam family "5.8S ribosomal RNA", at positions 35 to 154 of the family's 154-position model. The record is from RNAcentral.
GAUGAAGAACGUAGCGAAAUGCGAUAAGUAAUGUGAAUUGCAGAAUUCAGUGAAUCAUCGAAUCUUUGAACGCACAUUGCGCCCCCUGGUAUUCCGGGGGGCAUGCCUGUUCGAGCGUCAUUUCACCACUCAAGCCUCGCUUGGUAUUGGGCAACGCGGUCCGCCGCGUGCCUCAAAUCGUCCGGCUGGGUCUUCUGUCCCCUAAGUGUUGUGGAAACUAUUCGCUAAAGGGUGUUCGGGAGGCUACGCCGUAAAACAACCCCAUUUCUAAGGUUGACCUCGGAUCAGGUAGGGAUACCCGCUGAACUUAAGCAUAUCAAUAAGCGGAGGA